CAUUGUUGCCCUCUAUGGUGCGGAC
Molecule: non-coding RNA, 25 nt
Filed under: Minutocellus polymorphus
Lineage: Eukaryota; Bacillariophyta; Thalassiosirophyceae; Cymatosirales; Cymatosiraceae
Source: RNAcentral